RNAcentral lists this ribosomal RNA (811 nucleotides) under uncultured Bacillus sp. RNAcentral describes it as "bacterial SSU rRNA". It matches the Rfam family "Bacterial small subunit ribosomal RNA", at positions 73 to 868 of the family's 1533-position model. The record is from RNAcentral. Lineage: Bacteria; Bacillati; Bacillota; Bacilli; Caryophanales; Bacillaceae.
AGGGAGCUUGCUCCCAAAGGUUAGCGGCGGACGGGUGAGUAACACGUGGGCAACCUGCCUGUAAGACUGGGAUAACUUCGGGAAACCGGAGCUAAUACCGGAUAAUUCUUACCAACACAUGUUGGUAAGCUAAAAGACGGCGCAAGCUGUCACUUACAGAUGGGCCCGCGGCGCAUUAGCUAGUUGGUAAGGUAAUGGCUUACCAAGGCAACGAUGCGUAGCCGACCUGAGAGGGUGAUCGGCCACACUGGGACUGAGACACGGCCCAGACUCCUACGGGAGGCAGCAGUAGGGAAUCUUCCGCAAUGGACGAAAGUCUGACGGAGCAACGCCGCGUGAGUGAUGAAGGUUUUCGGAUCGUAAAACUCUGUUGUUAGGGAAGAACAAGUACGAGAGUAACUGCUCGUACCUUGACGGUACCUAACCAGAAAGCCACGGCUAACUACGUGCCAGCAGCCGCGGUAAUACGUAGGUGGCAAGCGUUGUCCGGAAUUAUUGGGCGUAAAGCGCGCGCAGGCGGUCCUUUAAGUCUGAUGUGAAAGCCCACGGCUCAACCGUGGAGGGUCAUUGGAAACUGGGGGACUUGAGUGCAGGAGAGAAGAGUGGAAUUCCACGUGUAGCGGUGAAAUGCGUAGAGAUGUGGAGGAACACCAGUGGCGAAGGCGACUCUUUGGCCUGUAACUGACGCUGAGGCGCGAAAGCGUGGGGAGCAAACAGGAUUAGAUACCCUGGUAGUCCACGCCGUAAACGAUGAGUGCUAAGUGUUAGAGGGUUUCCGCCCUUUAGUGCUGAAGUAAACGCAUUAAGCACU